CUCUAUUAACCUCACAGAUUGUUUCUUUUGCUGAGAAGAAACUUUUUACAUCCCAUUUACUGAUUCUUGAUUUUUAAUUCUUGCGCUAUAGGAGUCUUAUUAAGGAAGUUGAGGCCUAAUCCAACACGAUGAAGAUUAGGGCCUGCUUUUUCUUCUAUUAGACGCAGGGUCUCUGGUUUAAUUCCUAAAUCCUGAUCCCACUUUCAAUUGAGUUUUGUGCAUGGUGAGAGACAGGGGUUUAAUUUCAUUUUGUUGCGUAAGGAUUUCCAGUUUUCCCAGCACCAUUUGUUGAAGAGGCUAUCUUUUCUCCAAUGUAUGUUUUGGCACCUUUAUCUAAUAUAAUUGUAAUUUUGUGGGUUAGUCUCUGUGUCCUCUAUUCUGUACCAUUGAUCUACCAGUCUGUUUUGGUGCCAAUACCAUGCUGUUUUUGUUACUAUUGCUCUGUAGUAUAGCUUAAGGUCUGGUAUAGUGAUGCCAUCUGCUUCACUCUUCCUGCUAAGGAUUUCUUUAGCUAUUCUGGGUCUCUUAUUUUUCCAGAUGAAUUUCAUGAUUGCUUUUUCUAUUUCUAUGAGCAAUGCCAUUGGGAUUUUGACUGGAAUUGCAUUAAAUAUGUAUAGUGCUUUUGGUAGUAUGGUCAUUUUGAUAAUAUUAAUUCUGCCUAUCUAAGAGCAAGGUAGAUUUUUCCAUCUUCUUUGAUUUCGUUCUUUAGCAUUCUGUAGUUUUCAUUGUAUAGAUCUUUUACCUCUUUUGUUAAGUUCAUUCUGAAGUGUUUUUUGUUGUUGUUGUUGUUUGUU
Molecule: long non-coding RNA, 794 nt
Filed under: Marmota monax (woodchuck)
Lineage: Eukaryota; Metazoa; Chordata; Mammalia; Rodentia; Sciuridae
Source: RNAcentral